Molecule: ribosomal RNA, 491 nt
Filed under: uncultured bacterium
Lineage: Bacteria
Description: partial 16S ribosomal RNA
Rfam family: Bacterial small subunit ribosomal RNA
Source: RNAcentral
AGUGAACGCUGGCGGUAGGCCUAACACAUGCAAGUCGAACGGCAGCACAGUAAGAGCUUGCUCUUACGGGUGGCGAGUGGCGGACGGGUGAGGAAUACAUCGGAAUCUACUUUUUCGUGGGGGAUAACGUAGGGAAACUUACGCUAAUACCGCAUACGACCUACGGGUGAAAGCAGGGGAUCUUCGGACCUUGCGCGAUUGAAUGAGCCGAUGUCGGAUUAGCUAGUUGGCGGGGUAAAGGCCCACCAAGGCGACGAUCCGUAGCUGGUCUGAGAGGACGAUCAGCCACACUGGACCUGAGACCCGGUCCAGACUCCUACGGGAGGCAGCAGUGGGGAAUAUUGGACAAUGGGCGCAAGCCUGAUCCAGCCAUACCGCGUGGGUGAAGAAGGCCUUCGGGUUGUAAAGCCCUUUUGUUGGGAAAGAAAAGCAGCAGGUUAAUACCCCGCUGUUCUGACGGUACCCAAAGAAUAAGUACCGGCUAACUUCGU